This 400-nucleotide unclassified non-coding RNA is filed under the name uncultured bacterium. Its description in RNAcentral is "contains 16S-23S intergenic spacer region". The record is from RNAcentral.
UCCAAAUAACUAGUAAAUUGUUGGCAGUUUUUUCAAUUUUUUGACUUGGUACAUUAUUUUUGCAAUAAUGCUUUAAUUACAAACAAAUCAAAUUAAAUAGAAAAUAGGGGUUGCGCUCGUUAAAGGAGCCAACCAAACAUCUCAAGACACGAGCUAACGACAGCCAUGCAGCACCUGCUCAGUAAUUUAAUUUACACUUCGUGUAAAUUAUACCGAAUGGAUUAAAUUGCUGAUUCAAAAAUUGGUAAGGUUUUGCGUGUUAUGUCGCAUUAAACCAGAUGCCCCACCGCUUGUUCAGACCUCCGUCAAUUCCUUAGAGUUUCAACCUUGCGACUUUACUAUCCAGGCGGAAUGUUUACGCGUUAGCUUAAGCAUCGAGUAAAAUUUACCCAACACUCAA